This is a non-coding RNA of Heterocephalus glaber (naked mole-rat), 1023 nucleotides long. The record is from RefSeq and is a predicted model, not a curated record. Lineage: Eukaryota; Metazoa; Chordata; Mammalia; Rodentia; Bathyergidae.
GUAUGAAACCCUUGCCCCUGGCUUCAAAUUCUCAGGGUGUAUGGUCUGGGACCCCCCAUAGGGGAGCCCUUAAAAGGUGGCUCGACACAGUCAUGCUAUUGCUGGCUCUGCUCCACCUGAGGUGAGAGAGAGCCGAGUGUGCCAGGAGGUCACAGGUAUACCACUGCAAGAGGGCCCGGCCAGGUGUUCUCACUUAUCAGCUCUGGAGCUUCCUUUAGAGGAGACACCAGUUUCUAUGGCAAACAGCGAGUCCAGGGCUGCACCCGGAUAAAGACCAUCACUUCCCAGUGGACAGAGAGUGUUGCUCUCGCGUCACUUCCUGCAGCCGUGCCUACCACAGGCCAUUAGAAACAAGUUUCCUCAAGACCUAGUCCAUCCUGCAUAAUCUCCUUCAUUCCUUUUUUUAGGUACUGGGGAUCAAACUUGGGUCCUUGCACUUGCAGGGCAGGCAUUGGAAUCACUGAGCUAAAUUCCCGGCCCCUCCCUUCAUUCUUGACCAACUGCAUUUGUCGACUUUGCUCAGCAGAGAUCUCUGGGAUUGGAAUAUACUGGAACUCAUGUCUUUCCCAGGUCGCUUGGCCCCUUCAAAGUUGCUGAUGGGAGACAUCUAGGACAAUACCGACACCAGGUUUUCACUAGCUCCUCAUACUUCUGUUUCUGAGGAGGACAAGGUUGGUGUAUUCACAGGGCUUCUGACAGUUGGAAGAUGAGCCCUUGGACAGGGAAAGACUGGAACAUAGCUCACCCUCUGCCUGAGAUUCACACAGCCCUCCGUCAAUGCCAGUGGGUGAGGCCCUUCUGCCAAGUUUUCCUGAGCCUCCCCCAUCCCACACAACACAAGCGCUACUCCAUUUCUACUUAUCCCAAUGUCGUGACAACUGCUUCUUUCUUUUCUGCUCAAUGCCACUUUGUCGUCCUUGUGAUUCAUGAUCACUAUUCAAUUCUAUCAUUGUUCCUGUUCCUGCUUCUUAGAAUCUCUUCUCAUGAAUGCUUCAGUAUUCAAUGAAUAAAUCAACUUUUUUA